RNAcentral lists this ribosomal RNA (432 nucleotides) under Salmo salar (Atlantic salmon). RNAcentral describes it as "partial 12S ribosomal RNA". It matches the Rfam family "Bacterial small subunit ribosomal RNA", at positions 770 to 1403 of the family's 1533-position model. The record is from RNAcentral. Lineage: Eukaryota; Metazoa; Chordata; Actinopteri; Salmoniformes; Salmonidae.
AACUGGGAUUAGAUACCCCACUAUGCCUAGCCGUAAACUUUGAUGGAAACAUACAACUGACAUCCGCCAGGGGACUAUAAGCGCCAGCUUAAAACCCAAAGGACUUGGCGGUGCCUCAGACCCACCUAGAGGAGCCUGUUCUAGAACCGAUAACCCCCGUUCAACCUCACCACCUCUUGUUUUCCCCGCCUAUAUACCACCGUCGUCAGCUUACCCUGUGAAGGCCUUAUAGUAAGCAAAAUGGGCAAAACCCAAAACGUCAGGUCGAGGUGUAGCGCAUGGGGUGGGAAGAAAUGGGCUACAUUCUCUAAAUUAGAGCACUACGAACCACGCUGUGAAACCAGCGUCCAAAGGUGGAUUUAGCAGUAAAUAGAAAAUAGAGAGUUCUCUUGAAACUGGCUCUGAGGCGCGCACACACCGCCCGGUCACCCU